UGAAAGUUUGAUUCUAGCUUUAGAUUUAAAUUCAAUAUUAUUUUACAUAUAAAUAUUUAUAUAAUAUAUUAGUUCUAAAUGAAUAUUUUUAUAUUGUAGUAUUUAAUAUUAUAUAUUAAUAUAUUUAGAUAUAGUAAUUAUUUAAAGAAUAAACAAAAUUCGUGCCAGCAGUUGCGGUUAUACGAUUUAUUCAAUUUAAAUUUAAAAGUUUCAGUUAUAAUUAAAUUUGAUCUAUUACCUUAAUAAUUUUGGUGAAAUAUAAUUUCAUUAAGGAUUCAAAAUUUUUGUCUGAGAAACUUUUCUAUUAAACUAGGAUUAGAUACCCUAUUAUUAAAAGUGUUAAAUUAAUAGCUUGAUUACUAAUAGUUAAGAUCUCUAAAUUCAAAGAAUUUGGCGGUAAUUUAUCUUUUCAGAGGAACCUGUUCUAUAAUUGAUAAUCCACGAUAGAAUUUACUUUAUCUUGACUUGUAUAUCUCUGUCAAGAAUGUUCUAUAAAGAUAUUUUCGUUUUUUGAAUUUAAAUAAUGUCAGGUCAAGGUGCAGUUUUUCAUAAAGUAGAAAUGGGUUACAUUUUAAUAAUAUUAGAUAUUAUUUUAAUUAGAAUAUUAAUAAAUUGGAUUUGAUAGUAAGUUAAUUAAAUUAAAUUAUUUGAAUUUAGCCCUGAAUUAUGUACACAUCGCCCGUCACUCUCAUUUUAAAAUGAGAUAAGUCGUAACAAAGUAGUUGUACCGGAAGGUGUAGCUAGAAUGU
RNAcentral lists this non-coding RNA (749 nucleotides) under Chilecicada sp. PL492. Lineage: Eukaryota; Metazoa; Arthropoda; Insecta; Hemiptera; Cicadidae. The record is from RNAcentral.